UGGGUUAGCCCUAAGUCAAACCUAUUCAAUUUUGCCCAAGUUUAUAGAAAAACGUAUCAACAUCUAAAAUAUCAAAUUAGUUGCAUUUAAUCCAUUGUGGAUUUAAUGAAACUAAUUUGAUGUUGUAAAUGUUGCUAUGUUUUUCUAUAAACAUGAUCAAACUUGAAUGGGUUCGACUUAGGACAAACCUAA
Molecule: non-coding RNA, 192 nt
Organism: Oryza brachyantha (malo sina)
Lineage: Eukaryota; Viridiplantae; Streptophyta; Magnoliopsida; Poales; Poaceae
Source: Rfam